CUACGGGGGGCAGCAGUAGGGAAUCUUAGACAAUGGGGGAAACCCUGAUCUAGCCAUGCCGCGUGAGUGAUGAAGGCCUUAGGGUUGUAAAGCUCUUUCGCUGGGGAAGAUAAUGACGGUACCCAGUAAAGAAACCCCGGCUAACUCCGUGCCAGCAGCCGCGGUAAUACGGAGGGGGUUAGCGUUGUUUGGAUUACUGGGCGUAAAGCGCGCGUAGGCGGGCUAUUAAGUCAGGGGUGAAAUCCCGGGGCUCAACCCCGGAACUGCCUUUGAUACUGGUAGUCUUGAGUUCGAGAGAGGUGAGUGGAAUUCCGAGUGUAGAGGUGAAAUUCGUAGAUAUUCGGAGGAACAUCAGUGGCGAAGGCGACUCACUGGCUCGAUACUGACGCUGAGGUGCGAAAGUGUGGGGAGCAAACAGGAUUAGAUACCCGCGUAGUC
Molecule: ribosomal RNA, 438 nt
Filed under: uncultured bacterium
Lineage: Bacteria
Description: partial 16S ribosomal RNA
Rfam family: Bacterial small subunit ribosomal RNA
Source: RNAcentral